GACGAACGCUGGCGGCGUGCUUAACACAUGCAAGUCGAACGGAAAGGCCCUGCUUUUGUGGGGUGCUCGAGUGGCGAACGGGUGAGUAACACGUGAGUAACCUGCCCUUGACUUUGGGAUAACUUCAGGAAACUGGGGCGAAUACCGGAUAGGAGCUCCUGCUGCAUGGUGGGGGUUGGAAUGUUUCGGCGGUUGGGGAUGGACUCGCGGCUUAUCAGCUUGUUGGUGGGGUAGUGGCUUACCAAGGCUUUGACGGGUAGCCGGCCUGAGAGGGUGACCGGCCACAUUGGGGCUGAGAUACGGCCCAGACUCCUACGGGAGGCAGCAGUGGGGAAUAUUGCACAAUGGGCGGAAGCCUGAUGCAGCAACGCCGCGUGCGGGAUGACGGCCUUCGGGUUGUAAACCGCUUUCGCCUGUGACGAAGCGUGAGUGACGGUAAUGGGUAAAGAAGCACCGGCUAACUACGUG
Molecule: ribosomal RNA, 468 nt
Filed under: uncultured bacterium
Lineage: Bacteria
Description: partial 16S ribosomal RNA
Rfam family: Bacterial small subunit ribosomal RNA
Source: RNAcentral